GAUGAACGCUGACAGAAUGCUUAACACAUGCAAGUCAUUGGCGAAGCUGCGCUUGCGCAGUCUAGCCAAGGCGGACGGGUGAGUAACGCGUAAGGAACUUGCCCUGCAGACAGGGAUAACAGACGGAAACGACUGAUAACACCUGGUAUUGUCAGGCCGGCGCAUUCCGGGCUGAUGAAAGGAGACGCUGCAGGAGAGCCUUGCGUCCUAUUAGCUAGUUGGUGGGGUAACGGCCCACCAAGGCGAUGAUAGGUAGCCGGCCUGAGAGGGUGAACGGCCACAAGGGGACUGCGAUACGGCCCUUACUCCUACGGGAGGCAGCAGUGGGGAAUAUUGGACAAUGGGGGCAACCCUGAUCCAGCAAUUCUGUGUGCACGAAGAAGGUUUUCGGAUUGUAAAGUGCUUUCAGCAGGGAAGAAGAAAGUGACGGUACCUGCAGAAGAAGCGACGGCUAAAUACGUG
Molecule: ribosomal RNA, 462 nt
Filed under: uncultured bacterium
Lineage: Bacteria
Description: partial 16S ribosomal RNA
Rfam family: Bacterial small subunit ribosomal RNA
Source: RNAcentral